UUCUCCUCAUUUCCCUCAAAUUACGAAAAACAAACGAACACAAAAACAAGGCAACCAAGAAUCGACACAACGUAUUAGGAGGAUCGGAUAGCGAU
This 95-nucleotide non-coding RNA is filed under the name Synedropsis cf. recta. Lineage: Eukaryota; Bacillariophyta; Fragilariophyceae; Fragilariales; Fragilariaceae. The record is from RNAcentral.